GUAAAACUCUUCUUGGGUCAGAGGUCAUUUCAAAAUGGACGUCAGCAUUGCCGUGUCGCUGAUUCGAGGCCAGAUGGGUGCCGUGGUGGAGCGAGCAGUGAACGUAGCGGUGGAGACGGUGCUGGCUGAGAUGCUCAAAGUGGUCGGAGUCAAGUUUGAGGAGCUGAAGGCCCAGUUGGCGCUGAUGAAGAGGGACGUCACGGCGUUGCAGAGGGAAAAGGCCCUGAAAGAGAAAGAGAACGACAACAUUCGGGCCAAGCUGCGCUACACCGAGCUGAAGCUGAAGUACUACAGGCAGGGAGUGGAGGAGGAGCUGCAGCAGAGGGCCUCUGCCUCCGCUCUGGUCCGCAUCCACCCGUCCACCUUCCAGCAAGCACAGAGAGGCAGUGCGGGUGUUUCCUCCACUGAGACCUCGCCAUCGUGUUCAACUCAGACCAGGACCUCUGAGGCACUGCUGGUGAGAAGCAAACAAGAAUGCACCUCUCCACAGAGCACGAGCAGGCAUGCGAUCAGAGUGCGCUGUCACUUGGAUGCAGGGGGCGCCGGCUCCGACCCGGCGGAUUUGUUGCUGCCUAUCUCAAUCUCUGUGAACACACCAACAGAAUCUGUGGACAGCAGUACAGUUUUGUUCUGUCCCACAGAAGCCACAGCUCAGAGCAAGGAUGACGACCAGCAGGGCGACUGUGAGUGGGCCGUCACUCUGCAGCCGCAUGCAGAAGGCACGGACGCCGUCCCGACCCCUCCAGCGUUCGAGGUCUUGACUCUGGAUCCGGGGGAGCAGCAGCCAGUCGCCUGCUCGUUGACCCCUGAUGUUUCCCCUCAGGCCGAUAGCUCCACUCUGCCCUCUUCUGCUCCACAGGUGAAGCAGGAGAUGGAGGAGGUGAUCUGUAUCAAGGAGGAGCCAGAGGACGAGCAGGAGGUGAUGGCCACCCUGCUCAUGGACUGCCAGGUGCAGCAGGGUCAUCUCCCAGAGUCUGAGGCUCAAGGUUCAGUCACAGAGUGGUCAGGACUCACAGAAAGCCAGAGGAAUCACACUACAGCCUUCAGCUCAGCUGGACCGAGCACCUAUGUUAUGCCUCAGUCGGCAGGCUCCCUGCUGUCGAUGGUGGCCUUGCCAUCCGGCAUCGCAGCUCGCCAGGCGGUGCGGCCCUGGACUAAGGACCUCAGCCUUUAUGAAGAAUAUAAGCUGCGCAGGAACGAGCUCCGCCGGCGGAACCUCAGCAGACGCAGAGAGCUGGAGAAGACGUUGCCUCAGCCUCUGCUGGCAGAUCUGGUGCGAGAGCGUCGAGAGAAGACCAGACUAAGGGUGGCCAGAUGGAGGGCAAAAAGAAAACUGCAGGCCUGUCUAAACCAGUCACAGGUCCUAGGUGGCGCUGCAGGUCUUUCUCAAGCUGGCUUUCCCAUCAGCAGCCAGCAUCAUCAGCUCCUCGUGCCUUGUGAACUGGCCUGUUGUGUUUCAGCUGCCACCUCCAGUAGUCAGCAGAGACAGAGCUCAGCGUCACCUCAGUCCAGCACCUUCCUCAACAACAUGUCAGCAGCAAACAGCACCUCUGCCACUCUCCCCUUCAUCCCCUCCUCCUCCUCCUCCUCCUCCUCCUCCUCUCUGCUCCCGAGAGGCCCCAGCUUGGCCCCACAUCAGCACACUGUGACAUCAUCGUCCUCUUCCUACCCUCAGGUCAGCCUAUCACAACAGAGUAUCUCUCUGACAGACGCAGAUAUCUUGCAGUGA
Dicentrarchus labrax (European seabass) is the source of this 1729-nucleotide long non-coding RNA. Lineage: Eukaryota; Metazoa; Chordata; Actinopteri; Moronidae. The record is from Ensembl.